CCUACGGGCGGCAGCAGUGGGGAAUUUUGGACAAUGGGGGCAACCCUGAUCCAGCCAUUCCGCGUGAGUGAAGAAGGCCUUCGGGUUGUAAAGCUCUUUCGGCAGGAACGAAACGGCGGGCUCUAACAUAGCCUGUCAAUGACGGUACCUGAAGAAGAAGCACCGGCUAACUACGUGCCAGCAGCCGCGGUAAUACGUAGGGGGCGAGCGUUAAUCGGAAUUACUGGACGUAAAGCGGUAAGACGGAUGUGAAAUCCCCGGGCUUAACCUGGGAACUGCGUUUGUGACUGCAAGGCUCGAGUGUGGCAGAGGGGGGUGGAAUUCCACGUGUAGCAGUGAAAUGCGUAGAGAUGUGGAGGAACACCGAUGGCGAAGGCAGCCCCCUGGGUCAACACUGACGCUCAUGCACGAAAGCGUGGGUAGCAAACAGGAUUAGAUACCCCGGUAGUC
Molecule: ribosomal RNA, 450 nt
Filed under: uncultured bacterium
Lineage: Bacteria
Description: partial 16S ribosomal RNA
Rfam family: Bacterial small subunit ribosomal RNA
Source: RNAcentral